RNAcentral lists this ribosomal RNA (465 nucleotides) under Vreelandella stevensii. Its description in RNAcentral is "partial 16S ribosomal RNA". It matches the Rfam family "Bacterial small subunit ribosomal RNA", at positions 338 to 795 of the family's 1533-position model. The record is from RNAcentral. Lineage: Bacteria; Pseudomonadati; Pseudomonadota; Gammaproteobacteria; Oceanospirillales; Halomonadaceae.
CCUACGGGUGGCAGCAGUGGGGAAUAUUGGACAAUGGGCGAAAGCCUGAUCCAGCCAUGCCGCGUGUGUGAAGAAGGCCUUCGGGUUGUAAAGCACUUUCAGUGGGGAAGAAAGCCUUGGGGCUAAUACCCUCGAGGAAGGACAUCACCCACAGAAGAAGCACCGGCUAACUCCGUGCCAGCAGCCGCGGUAAUACGGAGGGUGCGAGCGUUAAUCGGAAUUACUGGGCGUAAAGCGCGCGUAGGCGGUCUGAUAAGCCGGUUGUGAAAGCCCCGGGCUCAACCUGGGAACGGCAUCCGGAACUGUCAGGCUUGAGUGCAGGAGAGGAAGGUAGAAUUCCCGGUGUAGCGGUGAAAUGCGUAGAGAUCGGGAGGAAUACCAGUGGCGAAGGCGGCCUUCUGGACUGACACUGACGCUGAGGUGCGAAAGCGUGGGUAGCAAACAGGAUUAGAUACCCCUGUAGUC